Pan troglodytes (chimpanzee) is the source of this 854-nucleotide long non-coding RNA. RefSeq lists it as uncharacterized. Lineage: Eukaryota; Metazoa; Chordata; Mammalia; Primates; Hominidae. The transcript is spliced from 5 exons. The record is from RefSeq and is a predicted model, not a curated record.
UUUGCUAUUCUACUGAUACGGUUUGGCUGUGUCCCCACUCGGAUCUCAUCUUGAAUUGUAGCUCCAGUAUUCCCACCUGUUGUAGGAGGGACCUGGUGGGAGGUAAUUGAAUCGCGGGGGCAGUUUCCCUCAUACUGUUCUCAUGACGGCGAGUAAGUCUCACGAGAUUUGAUGGUUUUAUAAGGGGUCUUCCCUUUCACUUGGCUUUCAUUCUUUCUUGCCUGCCAUGAUGUAAGACGUUCCUUUCACCUUCCACUAUGAUUGUGAGGCCUCUCCAGCCACGUGGAACUUCAGGUGAAGAAGUCAUAUUCCGCGAAUGUCUAAGGUUGGCUGGCCAGCAGAGUUUGGACGGUCGAACACACUUUUUGGCUCUGCCUCUGCACGGUGGCCAGUUUCACAAAGAGGCUGCAGGAAGCUGCUUCCAGCAGGCUGAGUCCUGAGGAGGAGACGAUAACAGUGGGAGAAGCACCUGGUAACAGCGGCACUUCAUCCAGGAAGAAAACAGGAUCUAAAAUAUAAACAACAUCCUUACAACACAAAAUAUGAGCGUCUAUCAUGGACCAACCAAUAACUGCAAUAAAAGUGUGAUAAAUGCUGUAUCCCCUGGCAGAUGAUGAGUAUCUUCAAAAUGAUUGGGACCAGAGCAGCCAGCAGAUGUUUCCAAUUCUGGGCCCUUUGUUUGCUGUGGAAGAUGCACCUUUGCUGAGCUUGGCUGCUGAAUGGACGGCCCUUGCUGAGCUUGUCAGCCUUAACACUGGUUAGUGAUUUGUGUUGGGCUAUUAAACGCAGAAGAAAAGCAAUGUGGUCUUUUUUUUUUUUUCAGGGAAAGAAUAGAUGGAAUGUCCCUGAAUAAA